This 1372-nucleotide ribosomal RNA is filed under the name uncultured bacterium. RNAcentral's name for it is "bacterial SSU rRNA". It matches the Rfam family "Bacterial small subunit ribosomal RNA", at positions 28 to 1381 of the family's 1533-position model. The record is from RNAcentral.
GAUGAACGCUGGCGGCGUGCCUAAUACAUGCAAGUCGAGCGAACGGACGAGAAGCUUGCUUCUCUGAUGUUAGCGGCGGACGGGUGAGUAACACGUGGAUAACCUACCUAUAAGACUGGGAUAACUUCGGGAAACCGGAGCUAAUACCGGAUAAUAUUUUGAACCGCAUGGUUCAAAAGUGAAAGACGGUCUUGCUGUCACUUAUAGAUGGAUCCGCGCUGCAUUAGCUAGUUGGUAAGGUAACGGCUUACCAAGGCAACGAUGCAUAGCCGACCUGAGAGGGUGAUCGGCCACACUGGAACUGAGACACGGUCCAGACUCCUACGGGAGGCAGCAGUAGGGAAUCUUCCGCAAUGGGCGAAAGCCUGACGGAGCAACGCCGCGUGAGUGAUGAAGGUCUUCGGAUCGUAAAACUCUGUUAUUAGGGAAGAACAUAUGUGUAAGUAACUGUGCACAUCUUGACGGUACCUAAUCAGAAAGCCACGGCUAACUACGUGCCAGCAGCCGCGGUAAUACGUAGGUGGCAAGCGUUAUCCGGAAUUAUUGGGCGUAAAGCGCGCGUAGGCGGUUUUUUAAGUCUGAUGUGAAAGCCCACGGCUCAACCGUGGAGGGUCAUUGGAAACUGGAAAACUUGAGUGCAGAAGAGGAAGGUGGAAUUCCAUGUGUAGCGGUGAAAUGCGCAGAGAUAUGGAGGAACACCAGUGGCGAAGGCGACUUUCUGGUCUGUAACUGACGCUGAUGUGCGAAAGCGUGGGGAUCAAACAGGAUUAGAUACCCUGGUAGUCCACGCCGUAAACGAUGAGUGCUAAGUGUUAGGGGGUUUCCGCCCCUUAGUGCUGCAGCUAACACAUUAAGCACUCCGCCUGGGGAGUACGACCGCAAGGUUGAAACUCAAAGGAAUUGACGGGGACCCGCACAAGCGGUGGAGCAUGUGGUUUAAUUCGAAGCAACGCGAAGAACCUUACCAAAUCUUGACAUCCUUUGACAACUCUAGAGAUAGAGCCUUCCUCUUCGGGGGACAAAGUGACAGGUGGUGCAUGGUUGUCGUCAGCUCGUGUCGUGAGAUGUUGGGUUAAGUCCCGCAACGAGCGCAACCCUUAAGCUUAGUUGCCAUCAUUAAGUUGGGCACUCUAAGUUGACUGCCGGUGACAAACCGGAGGAAGGUGGGGAUGACGUCAAAUCAUCAUGCCCCUUAUGAUUUGGGCUACACACGUGCUACAAUGGACAAUACAAAGGGCAGCGAAACCGCGAGGUCAAGCAAAUCCCAUAAAGUUGUUCUCAGUUCGGAUUGUAGUCUGCAACUCGACUACAUGAAGCUGGAAUCGCUAGUAAUCGUAGAUCAGCAUGCUACGGUGAAUACGUUCCCGGGUCU